Molecule: long non-coding RNA, 343 nt
Filed under: Rattus norvegicus (Norway rat)
Lineage: Eukaryota; Metazoa; Chordata; Mammalia; Rodentia; Muridae
Description: long non-coding RNA NONRATT032239
Source: RNAcentral
AUGAAUGUGACCAGUGUGUCGAAGUGAACCACCUACCCUGGGAUGGAGAAGACUCAGCAGGCUUGAUGUCAGAGGAUAUCUGAGACUUGGAGGCCUCUGUCACCUGAAAUUCGGAGGCCAGCAAAGGAAGGCUACUCUUUUCUGCUGUGACUGCCUGGAAAGCCAUCAAGCUGGGUUAAAAGUCAACACUGCUACCUCAGGCAAUGACAAGGACAGGCCUAGCAAGUUGCCUGGGAAUGAAUUCUACUCCUGUUGCUAAAACCUGUCACUGGACCUUGGUCCUCAAAGUGUCACAAGACAAAGAAGCCAUACUGUAGGUAUCAUUUGUUUGCUUUCAUCACAG